Long non-coding RNA from Mauremys reevesii (Reeves's turtle), 837 nucleotides. RefSeq lists it as uncharacterized. The transcript is spliced from 3 exons. NCBI's taxonomy places the organism in Eukaryota, Metazoa, Chordata, Testudines, Geoemydidae. The record is from RefSeq and is a predicted model, not a curated record.
AGCUGAAGCUAGAUAAACUCAGACUACAUAUAAGUGAGGGAACAACUCACCUAGGGCCUUGGUGGAUUCUCUCAUUUAAAGGGUGUGAAUAUACCCCAUGCCCCAAAGGAAGGAGUAACCUUUGAAUGAGCUGCUAUCUGGGGUGCUGUGCCCCAGUCUAAGGGCCUCCCGACCUCUACUGGCUGCUGGACCUCCAUAGCUCAACCCUAGCACAGUACAAGUUUGGCCCAAUGGACCUUCAUGGGCUGUUCCAAGAGGAGGCAUUUCUGUGAUGAGCUGAGGGCUAAGGUUAUGGAGAGGGCCAACAAGCAGGUCCAGCACUAGAAACACAGGACAGGGUUUCAGCGUGGGAGCAGGCACUUGCUACGCAGCUCCUGGAACAGGAAUGCAGCUAAGGGAGGAGGACAGAGCUAAGCAGAGAGAACUGUUUGAGCAUCUCACCUCAGUCAUGGCUAUAAGAGUGCCGGCUACUGCUGCCUCUCCCACCACCAUGCCCCAAUUCCCCUGUGACAUACCUUCAGCCCAGAAACCGCUUGGCAAACUUCAUGGCUGAGUGGCCCAUGCAAUCAGGCCCCAUGGACGUCUGGGCAGGGCAACUUAGCCCCAUGCAAUCCUCCGUCUUGAUGCCCUCUACUAUGGAUGCCUCCACUGCCCUCCCCAGUGCCAAGUGCAUGGAAACCUGUGAAAGGGAAAGGAGAAUGGGGGGUCUGGGGAAGUGCAGAGGUAGGAGGGUUUCUGUCUUAUUUGGACUUGAUGCACUUUCGUUUGUUUGUUUUGGAACGGUUCUGUUGUAACUGGUGUUUGAGUGUUGUAAUGGCAGCUGUCCUGCUUGGCAGU